UACGUAGGGUGCAAGCGUUAUUCGGAAUUAUUGGGCGUAAAGGGCGCGUAGGCGGCCUGGCAAGUGGAUGGUGAAAUCCCUCGGCUUAACCGAGGAACUGCCAUCCAGACUGCUUGGCUUGAGACCGGGAGAGGUGAGUGGAAUUCCCAGUGUAGCGGUGAAAUGCGUAGAUAUUGGGAGGAACACCAGUGGCGAAGGCGGCUCACUGGACCGGUACUGACGCUGAGGCGCGAAAGCGUGGGGAGCAAACGGG
Molecule: ribosomal RNA, 253 nt
Filed under: uncultured bacterium
Lineage: Bacteria
Description: partial 16S ribosomal RNA
Rfam family: Bacterial small subunit ribosomal RNA
Source: RNAcentral